Molecule: long non-coding RNA, 437 nt
Organism: Acanthaster planci (crown-of-thorns starfish)
Lineage: Eukaryota; Metazoa; Echinodermata; Asteroidea; Valvatida; Acanthasteridae
Source: RefSeq, a predicted model, not a curated record
UCAUUGGAUCAUGUGGUCACCCAUUUUUUGUUCUUUUUGCCUUUGUAAUUGAUUUCCUCCUUUUUCUUUUGAAAAUGUAUAGAAUGAGUGAAAACAUCGUUUUGUACUUGUUCCAGAAAUAUAUUGGCACUGUGCCAGGGUUCAGAUUUUCACGUCACAAUAUUUGCACAUUUAUAUUGACUGUGGUAGUAACAGUUCAGGCUGUUCUAUUGUGGUUAGGUGUCAAUGGAAGAGUGUUAGACAUUUACUCAACUUUAAAACUGCCGACAUUAGCCCAAAUGACCGUGCAAAAGAUUACAAUUACCUUUUGGGUUUCAAGUGUUGUGGCACUGAUUUUCACUUUGGCUUGCACUAUUGACAUGCAGCUGCGAUGCAGGUACGUAUAACGCACGACUUUAUCUGUCAUCGCUACUCGUUCGGCAAAAUCAAGAGCACAU